CUUGCUCCCUGAUGUUAGCGGCGGACGGGUGAGUAACACGUGGGUAACCUGCCUGUAAGACUGGGAUAACUCCGGGAAACCGGGGCUAAUACCGGAUGGUUGUUUGAACCGCAUGGUUCAAACAUAAAAGGUGGCUUCGGCUACCACUUACAGAUGGACCCGCGGCGCAUUAGCUAGUUGGUGAGGUAACGGCUCACCAAGGCGACGAUGCGUAGCCGACCUGAGAGGGUGAUCGGCCACACUGGGACUGAGACACGGCCCAGACUCCUACGGGAGGCAGCAGUAGGGAAUCUUCCGCAAUGGACGAAAGUCUGACGGAGCAACGCCGCGUGAGUGAUGAAGGUUUUCGGAUCGUAAAGCUCUGUUGUUAGGGAAGAACAAGUACCGUUCGAAUAGGGCGGUACCUUGACGGUACCUAACCAGAAAGCCACGGCUAACUACGUGCCAGCAGCCGCGGUAAUACGUAGGUGGCAAGCGUUGUCCGGAAUUAUUGGGCGUAAAGGGCUCGCAGGCGGUUUCUUAAGUCUGAUGUGAAAGCCCCCGGCUCAACCGGGGAGGGUCAUUGGAAACUGGGGAACUUGAGUGCAGAAGAGGAGAGUGGAAUUCCACGUGUAGCGGUGAAAUGCGUAGAGAUGUGGAGGAACACCAGUGGCGAAGGCGACUCUCUGGUCUGUAACUGACGCUGAGGAGCGAAAGCGUGGGGAGCGAACAGGAUUAGAUACCCUGGUAGUCCACGCCGUAAACGAUGAGUGCUAAGUGUUAGGGGGUUUCCGCCCCUUAGUGCUGCAGCUAACGCAUUAAGCACUCCGCCUGGGGAGUACGGUCGCAAG
RNAcentral lists this ribosomal RNA (830 nucleotides) under Bacillus subtilis. RNAcentral describes it as "bacterial SSU rRNA". It matches the Rfam family "Bacterial small subunit ribosomal RNA", at positions 79 to 892 of the family's 1533-position model. The record is from RNAcentral. Lineage: Bacteria; Bacillati; Bacillota; Bacilli; Caryophanales; Bacillaceae.